This 376-nucleotide ribosomal RNA is filed under the name uncultured bacterium. RNAcentral describes it as "bacterial SSU rRNA". It matches the Rfam family "Bacterial small subunit ribosomal RNA", at positions 524 to 898 of the family's 1533-position model. The record is from RNAcentral.
UACAGAGGUGGCAAGCGUUGUUCGGAAUUACUGGGCGUAAAGGGCGCGUAGGCGGUUCCGUAAGUCCCGCGUGAAAUCCCCCGGCUCAACCGGGGAACGGCGCGGGAAACUUCGGGGCUUGAGUUCGGGAGAGGGAAGCGGAAUUCCGGGUGUAGCGGUGAAAUGCGUAGAUAUCCGGAGGAACACCGGUGGCGAAGGCGGCUUCCUGGACCGAUACUGACGCUGAUGUGCGAAAGCUAGGGGAGCAAACGGGAUUAGAUACCCCGGUAGUCCUAGCUGUAAACGAUGAGUGCUGGGUGUAGGGGGUAUUAACCCCCCCUGUGCCGAAGCUAACGCAUUAAGCACUCCGCCUGGGGAGUACGGUCGCAAGGCUGAA